GACGAAUGCUGGCGGCGUGCUUAACACAUGCAAGUCGAACGGUGAAGCGCCUUCCUUUUUGGUGGGUGUGGAUGAGUGGCGAACGGGUGAGUAACACGUGAGUAACCUGCCCCCUUCUCCUGGAUAACCGCAUGAAAGUGUGGCUAAUGCGGGAUAUUCUGGGUCUGUCGCAUGAUGGGUCUGGGAAAGAUAUUGUUUCGGUGGGGGAUGGGCUCGCGGCCUAUCAGCUUGUUGGUGGGGUGAUGGCCUACCAAGGCGGUGACGGGUAGCCGGCCUGAGAGGGUGGACGGUCACACUGGGACUGAGACACGGCCCAGACUCCUACGGGAGGCAGCAGUGGGGAAUAUUGCACAAUGGGCGCAAGCCUGAUGCAGCGACGCCGCGUGAGGGAUGGAGGCCUUCGGGUUGUGAACCUCUUUCGCCAGUGAAGCAGGCCUGCCUCGUUUGUGGGUGGGUUGACGGUAGCUGGAUAAGAAGCGCCGGCUAACUACGUG
RNAcentral lists this ribosomal RNA (494 nucleotides) under uncultured bacterium. Its description in RNAcentral is "partial 16S ribosomal RNA". It matches the Rfam family "Bacterial small subunit ribosomal RNA", at positions 28 to 507 of the family's 1533-position model. The record is from RNAcentral.